This 430-nucleotide ribosomal RNA is filed under the name uncultured bacterium. Its description in RNAcentral is "bacterial SSU rRNA". It matches the Rfam family "Bacterial small subunit ribosomal RNA", at positions 28 to 463 of the family's 1533-position model. The record is from RNAcentral.
GAUGAACGCUGGCGGCAUGCCUUACACAUGCAAGUCGAACGGCAGCACGGGAGCAAUCCUGGUGGCGAGUGGCGAACGGGUGAGUAAUAUAUCGGAACGUGCCCAGUCGUGGGGAUAACGUAGCGAAAGCUACGCUAAUACCGCAUACGAUCUAUGGAUGAAAGCGGGGGAUCGCAAGACCUCGCGCGAUUGGAGCGGCCGAUAUCAGAUUAGGUAGUUGGUGAGGUAAAGGCUCACCAAGCCGACGAUCUGUAGCUGGUCUGAGAGGACGACCAGCCACACUGGGACUGAGACACGGCCCAGACUCCUACGGGAGGCAGCAGUGGGGAAUUUUGGACAAUGGGCGAAAGCCUGAUCCAGCAAUGCCGCGUGAGUGAUGAAGGCCUCGGUGUAAGACGUCUUUACUUCGGUACGGACGUAAUAGUACGGU